Tricholoma furcatifolium is the source of this 80-nucleotide non-coding RNA. Lineage: Eukaryota; Fungi; Basidiomycota; Agaricomycetes; Agaricales; Tricholomataceae. The record is from the annotation of a GenBank genome assembly.
GGGGUCUUGGCACAGUGGUAGCGCGCAUGCUUCGCAUUCAGCAUUGCAUGAGGUCGUGAGUUCAAUCCUCACAGGCUCCA